This 225-nucleotide long non-coding RNA is filed under the name Ricinus communis (castor bean). Its description in RNAcentral is "long non-coding RNA (RCOM_LNC000896)". The record is from RNAcentral. Lineage: Eukaryota; Viridiplantae; Streptophyta; Magnoliopsida; Malpighiales; Euphorbiaceae.
UAAAACUCUCUAAUAAAUGUUAAUGCAUCUUAACUAGGCAUAAUAUAAAAUGAAAGAAGCAUAUCAAAAUAUAUAUUCUUAAGUUCAUAAGUCCUAGAUGCAUCACUUAGAACUAUGCAUGAAGUAACGUUACCAAUUAUAGGUCGAGCAUAAUCCUUCAUGGCCAUUUAUCUUUCAACUACUACUUGUCUUUGUUUGUUUGUCAUAUUUUAACCUCUUCUUCUG